This 115-nucleotide ribosomal RNA is filed under the name uncultured bacterium. RNAcentral describes it as "partial 16S ribosomal RNA". It matches the Rfam family "Bacterial small subunit ribosomal RNA", at positions 1358 to 1482 of the family's 1533-position model. The record is from RNAcentral.
UACGGUGAAUACGUUCCCGGACCUUGUACACACCGCCCGUCAAGCCAUGGAAGCUGGGUGUACCUAAAGCCGGUAACCGCAAGGAGCCGCCUAGGGUAAACUAGUAACUGGGGCU